Molecule: ribosomal RNA, 272 nt
Filed under: uncultured bacterium
Lineage: Bacteria
Description: partial 16S ribosomal RNA
Rfam family: Bacterial small subunit ribosomal RNA
Source: RNAcentral
UACAGAGGUCCCCAAGCGUUGUUCGGAUUCACUGGGCGUAAAGGGUGCGUAGGCGGUCGGGCAAGUCUGAUGUGAAAUCUCCGGGCCCAACCCGGAAAAUGCAUUGGAAACUGCCUGGCUAGAGGAUUGGAGGGGGGACUGGAAUUCUCGGUGUAGCAGUGAAAUGCGUAGAUAUCGAGAGGAACACCAGUGGCGAAGGCGAGUCCCUGGACAAUUCCUGACGCUGAGGCACGAAGGCCGGGGGAGCAAACAGGAUUAGAAACCCCGGUAGU